Molecule: ribosomal RNA, 27 nt
Filed under: Calluna vulgaris root associated fungus
Lineage: Eukaryota; Fungi
Description: partial 28S ribosomal RNA
Source: RNAcentral
CUUUGACCUCGGAUCAGGUAGGAAUAC